RNAcentral lists this ribosomal RNA (400 nucleotides) under uncultured bacterium. Its description in RNAcentral is "bacterial SSU rRNA". It matches the Rfam family "Bacterial small subunit ribosomal RNA", at positions 356 to 773 of the family's 1533-position model. The record is from RNAcentral.
GGGGAAUCUUAGACAAUGGGGGAAACCCUGAUCUAGCCAUGCCGCGUGAUCGAUGAAGGCCUUAGGGUUGUAAAGAUCUUUCAGGUGGGAAGAUAAUGACUGUACCACCAGAAGAAGCCCCGGCUAACUCCGUGCCAGCAGCCGCGGUAAUACGGAGGGGGCUAGCGUUAUUCGGAAUUACUGGGCGUAAAGCGCACGUAGGCGGACCAGAAAGUCAGAGGUGAAAGCCCGGGGCUCAACCCCGGAACGGCCUUUGAAACUCCUGGUCUUGAGGUCGAGAGAGGUGAGUGGAAUUCCGAGUGUAGAGGUGAAAUUCGUAGAUAUUCGGAGGAACACCAGUGGCGAAGGCGGCUCACUGGCUCGAUACUGACGCUGAGGUGCGAAAGCGUGGGGAGCAAAC